Molecule: ribosomal RNA, 1444 nt
Filed under: uncultured Bacteroidota bacterium
Lineage: Bacteria; Pseudomonadati; Bacteroidota
Description: bacterial SSU rRNA
Rfam family: Bacterial small subunit ribosomal RNA
Source: RNAcentral
GAUGAACGCUAGCGGCAGGCUUAACACAUGCAAGUCGAGGGGCAUCACGUUCAGCAAUGGAUGGUGGCGACCGGCGCACGGGUGCGUAACGCGUGAGCAACCUACCCAUAACAGUGGGAUAAGUCGGGGAAACCCGGUCUAAUACCGCAUGAUAUUAAUUUGGGGCAUCUUAGAUUAAUUAAAGCUUUGGUGGUUAUGGAUGGGCUCGCGUAACAUUAGCUUGAUGGUGAGGUAACGGCUUACCAUGGCUACGAUGUUUAGGGGUUCUGAGAGGAAGGCCCCCCACACUGGGACUGAGACACGGCCCAGACUCCUACGGGAGGCAGCAGUGAGGAAUAUUGGACAAUGGUCGGAAGACUGAUCCAGCCAUGCCGCGUGCAGGAAGACGAUCCUAUGGAUUGUAAACUGCUUUUAUGAGGGAGUAAUUAGGGCUACGUGUAGUCUGAUGAGAGUACCUUAUGAAUAAGCAUCGGCUAACUCCGUGCCAGCAGCCGCGGUAAUACGGGGGAUGCGAGCGUUAUCCGGAUUUAUUGGGUUUAAAGGGUGCGUAGGCGGUUAUAUAAGUCAGUGGUGAAAUUUUGCAGCUCAACUGUAAAUGUGCCAUUGAUACUGUGUAGCUGGAAAGUAGAUGAAGUGGGUGGAAUGUGUGGUGUAGCGGUGAAAUGCUUAGAUAUCACACAGAAUAUCGAUAGCGCAGGCAGCUCGCUAAUCUAUAUUUGACGCUGAGGCACGAAAGUGUGGGGAUCAAACAGGAUUAGAUACCCUGGUAGUCCACACUGUAAACGAUGAUCACUCGUUGUCGGCGAUAAACAGUCGGUGACCAAGCGAAAGCGAUAAGUGAUCCACCUGGGGAGUACGACCGCAAGGUUGAAACUCAAAGGAAUUGACGGGGGCCCGCACAAGCGGAGGAACAUGUGGUUUAAUUCGAUGAUACGCGAGGAACCUUACCCGGGCUCGAACGGCAGAGGGAUAUGUUAGAGAUAAUAUAGCCGCAAGGCUUCUGUCGAGGUGCUGCAUGGUUGUCGUCAGCUCGUGCCGUGAGGUGUCGGCUUAAGUGCCAUAACGAGCGCAACCCUUGUUGUCAGUUGCCAUCAGGUAAAGCUGGGGACUCUGGCGAGACUGCCACCGUAAGGUGCGAGGAAGGGGGGGAUGACGUCAAAUCAGCACGGCCCUUACGUCCGGGGCGACACACGUGUUACAAUGGGGGGUACAGAAGGUUGCUACCACGCGAGUGGAUGCCAAUCCCGAAAGCCUCUCUCAGUUCGGAUCGAAGUCUGCAACUCGACUUCGUGAAGCUGGAUUCGCUAGUAAUCGCGCAUCAGCCAUGGCGCGGUGAAUACGUUCCCGGGCCUUGUACACACCGCCCGUCAAGCCAUGGGAGCUGGGGGCGCCUGAAGUUCGUGACCGCAAGGAGCGACCUAGGGCGAAACCGGUGACUGGGGCU